Engraulis encrasicolus (European anchovy) is the source of this 1531-nucleotide long non-coding RNA. RefSeq lists it as uncharacterized. The transcript is spliced from 10 exons. Lineage: Eukaryota; Metazoa; Chordata; Actinopteri; Clupeiformes; Engraulidae. The record is from RefSeq and is a predicted model, not a curated record.
GGCAUAAUUGCAAUUUCGUUGUGUGCAGUGUUCACUUGUGUGCUGUGGAGUGCUGUGUCACAAUGACAAUGGGAGUUGGAGUUUCCCAGUUGGGCUUCAUAAUCUGCAUCUCAAUACUGGAUUUUCAUUGAAGAUUAUCAUUCAUCCAGGUCAUUUUAGUCGAAAGAUUAUAGUUGUAUGUCACUGAACUUCUUUUUGAAGUUUCAUUUGUCUUUUUUGUUUUGUUUUGUUUUUUUACUUUAUUUAUGCCCCGGGGCACGAACGUGUGACCUCGUCAACUACAACGGUCCGGCAAUGGGAGACACAGUACGAUACCGCUGGACCAAGAGACCAGUCUCCCGGUCCAACGACAUCGACACUGUAUGAGGCUUUAGGAGGGAGGUUUACCAACGUUCCACGCCAACUCUGCUGGUGGAAACCGAGGGCUAUGUGCAGUAUAACCUGUUUGGCACCAUGCAGGUGGAGAACAUCAUCGAGUCGUAGUGCAGCAUUGUCGAUGUCUUCAGGUGGAGCAACAUGGAGAAGAUCCUGCAGAUGCCACCACAGUCCUCUGAAGCUGCACUGAACAGGAGAACAUUGCUAAAAACGGCCAUGGCCCAGUGAGGGAAAGUGGCAGAGCAGGCCCUUAAGGAGGAGAAGGCAGUCACUCCCACCCAACAGAAGAGCAUUAACAUCUACAGCACUGCACUGUGGGCCUGGACUGGAGCCGGGAUCUGGAAUUCACAGUUGAACUCUGGGUCAAGAUGCGAACAGUAUAACAUCUUACCAGGACAUCAUGGACUGCCUGAAGAUGGUCAUCUCUGCUGUUACGUGGCCAGGUCAAGCCAUGGGUGCACAGGAACAUCAGCAACUCUGGGCCUGCUCAUCCUGCAGUCGUAUAAGCAGGAGAUGGAGGAGGGGAGCCUGUCGAGCCUGGCCCCCGUACACAUGGUGCUGCAGAUGGGCCUGGACAAGAUGAGAAAAAACUGCAUCAACUACCUCAUACAGUAGGAAAGGAGUUGACCACUAAUUAUUUGCUGAUCGUGCUUGAGGUACUACAAAACCUGCCCUUAUGAUUAGGAACACGUCUUUCAGAUGGAAAUCAGACCUGUUGUGAUCAGCAGCUUCUACCAAAAGGCUUGUGAGAGGUGUGGACGUCCUUCCAUCUCAGCAGCCAGCCUCUGGCGAAUCAUGUGACCUUACACCUCAGGUGUAAUUAGAGGAGCAGUGCGACGGCAAGAAAGAGCUGCACCAUGAAUGGCCUGGCCCAAAGCCUGUCCAGCUGCUGACAACCUUGGCUGCACCCUGGACAUGUCAUCCAUCAGCCACCCUCCCACUAACAUUCUUUUGUUUAGUAUUAGAACGUGGUAUCUAUUUUGUAAUGAUAGACUUGACAUAGUCCUGUGGGAAUAUAGAAAGCACUUCUGUGAGUCCAUCACGGAAAACACUUCCGGUUCCUCAAACAUCCGUGUCCAUUCCAUGGAAUUAUGUGAGAUCAGGUGUGUGUGUGUGUGUGUGUGUGUGUGUGUGUGUGUGUGUGUGUGUGUGUGUG